GACGAACGCUGGCGGCGUGCUUAACACAUGCAAGUCGAACGGAAAGGCCCUGCUUUUGUGGGGUGCUCGAGUGGCGAACGGGUGAGUAACACGUGAGUAACCUGCCCUUGACUUUGGGAUAACUUCUGGAAACUGGGGCUAAUACCGGAUAGGAUCUCCUGCUGCAUGGUGGGGGUUGGAAAGUUUCGGCUGUUGGGGAUGGACUCGCGGCUUAUCAGCUUGUUGGUGGGGUAGUGGCUUACGAAGGCUUUGACGGGUAGCCGGCCUGAGAGGGUGAACGGCGUCAUGGGUACUAAGAGAGGGCGCAGAAGCCAACGGGAGGCAGUGGGGGGAAGCAUGGCGGAACGGCGCCGAGUCUGAGACGAAAGCGCUGGGAGCGUGAUGACGGCCUAUGAGUGAUAAACAGCUUUCGCAUGUGACGAGCCGGGAUUGACGGUAAUGGAUAAAAAAGCACCGGCUAACUACGUG
RNAcentral lists this ribosomal RNA (468 nucleotides) under uncultured bacterium. Its description in RNAcentral is "partial 16S ribosomal RNA". It matches the Rfam family "Bacterial small subunit ribosomal RNA", at positions 28 to 507 of the family's 1533-position model. The record is from RNAcentral.